RNAcentral lists this ribosomal RNA (393 nucleotides) under uncultured bacterium. Its description in RNAcentral is "partial 16S ribosomal RNA". It matches the Rfam family "Bacterial small subunit ribosomal RNA", at positions 523 to 918 of the family's 1533-position model. The record is from RNAcentral.
AUACGGAGGAUGCAAGCGUUAUCCGGAUUUAUUGGGUUUAAAGGGUGCGUAGGCGGGCUGUUAAGCGUGAGGUGAAAGCUCGGGGCUCAACCCCGGAACUGCCUCGCGAACUGGCGGGCUUGAAUGUCCGUGCCGUGGGAGGACUGUGUGGUGUAGCGGUUAAAUGCAUAGAGAUCACACAGAACACCGAUUGCGAAGGCAUCUCACGAACGGAUGAUUGACGCUGAGGCACGAAAGCGUGGGGAUCAAACAGGAUUAGAUCCCCUGGUAGUCCACGCAGUAAACGAGGAUGACUAACCGUCGGCGAUAGACAGCCGGUGGCCAAGCGAAAGCGAUAAGUCAUCCACCUGGGGAGUACGUCGGCAACGAUGAAACUCAAAGGAAUUGGCGGGG